CCCUCCUCCUCCCGUCGUUCCUUGCCUCUCCUCACCUCUUCUCCCCACCGUAUCUCACAUUCUCCCUCCCUACUGUACAAUCUGACACCCCUGGUCCCCUGCGCCGUCAUCGCUCUCUCCGUCACCACUCGCAGCGGCUACCGCGCGGCACGGCUGCUGCAUAGUGAUUGAGGUCGUCACGGGGAGCGGCGGAGGACCGGC
This 201-nucleotide long non-coding RNA is filed under the name Setaria italica (foxtail millet). Its description in RNAcentral is "long non-coding RNA (SITA_LNC003601)". The record is from RNAcentral. Lineage: Eukaryota; Viridiplantae; Streptophyta; Magnoliopsida; Poales; Poaceae.